RNAcentral lists this ribosomal RNA (256 nucleotides) under uncultured bacterium. RNAcentral describes it as "partial 16S ribosomal RNA". It matches the Rfam family "Bacterial small subunit ribosomal RNA", at positions 524 to 776 of the family's 1533-position model. The record is from RNAcentral.
UACGUAGGGGGCAAGCGUUAUCCGGAAUCAUUGGGCGUAAAGCGCGUGUAGGCGGUUCCGUAAGUCCGCUCUGAAAGCCCAGGGCUCAACCCUGGGAGGCGGGUGGAUACUACGGAACUGGAGUACGGAAGAGGAGAUUGGAAUUCCUGGUGUAGCGGUGAAAUGCGCAGAUAUCAGGAGGAACACCAACAGCGAAGGCAGAUCUCUGGGACGUUACUGACGCUGGAGACGCGAAAAGCGUGGGGGAGCAAACAGG